CAGUAGCCGCGGUAACACGUAGGUGGCAAGCGUUGUCCGGAAUUAUUGGGCGUAAAGGGCUCGCAGGCGGUUUCUUAAGUCUGAUGUGAAAGCCCCCGGCUCAACCGGGGAGGGUCAUUGGAAACUGGGAAACUUGAGUGCAGAAGAGGAGAGUGGAAUUCCACGUGUAGCGGUGAAAUGCGUAGAGAUGUGGAGGAACACCAGUGGCGAAGGCGACACUCUGGUCUGUAACCGACGCUGAGGAGCGAAAGCGUGGGGAGCGAACAGGAUUAGAUACCCGUGUAGUCCCUGUCUCUUAUAC
This 301-nucleotide ribosomal RNA is filed under the name uncultured bacterium. Its description in RNAcentral is "partial 16S ribosomal RNA". It matches the Rfam family "Bacterial small subunit ribosomal RNA", at positions 509 to 807 of the family's 1533-position model. The record is from RNAcentral.